UGGCGGACGGGUGAGUAACGCGUGGGUAACCUGCCUUACACAGGGGGAUAACACCUGGAAACAGGUGCUAAUACCGCAUAAGCGCACAGGGCCGCAUGGCCCGGUGUGAAAAACUCCGGUGGUGUAAGAUGGACCCGCGUCUGAUUAGCUUGUUGGCGGGGUAGGGGCCCACCAAGGCGACGAUCAGUAGCCGGCCUGAGAGGGUGGACGGCUACAUUGGGACUGAGACACGGCCCAAACUCCUACGGAAGGCAGCAG
RNAcentral lists this ribosomal RNA (258 nucleotides) under uncultured bacterium. RNAcentral describes it as "partial 16S ribosomal RNA". It matches the Rfam family "Bacterial small subunit ribosomal RNA", at positions 96 to 354 of the family's 1533-position model. The record is from RNAcentral.